RNAcentral lists this unclassified non-coding RNA (337 nucleotides) under soil metagenome. RNAcentral describes it as "partial contains 5.8S ribosomal RNA, internal transcribed spacer 2, and large subunit ribosomal RNA". The stretch from base 1 to 120 matches the Rfam family "5.8S ribosomal RNA", at positions 35 to 154 of the family's 154-position model. The record is from RNAcentral.
GAUGAAGAACGUAGCGAAAUGCGAUAAGUAGUGUGAAUUGCAGAAUUCAGUGAAUCAUCGAAUCUUUGAACGCACAUUGCGCCCCUUGGUAUUCCAUGGGGCAUGUCUGUUCGAGCGUCAUUUGUACCUUCAAGCUCUGCUUGGUGUUGGGUGUUUGUCUCGCCUCUGCGUGUAGACUCGCCUCAAAACAAUUGGCAGCCGGCGUAUUGAUUUCGGAGCGCAGUACAUCUCGCGCUUUGCACUCAUAACGACGACGUCCAAAAGUACAUUUUUACACUCUUGACCUCGGAUCAGGUAGGGAUACCCGCUGAACUUAAGCAUAUCAAUAAGCGGAGGA